Molecule: ribosomal RNA, 378 nt
Filed under: uncultured bacterium
Lineage: Bacteria
Description: bacterial SSU rRNA
Rfam family: Bacterial small subunit ribosomal RNA
Source: RNAcentral
GUAGUCCACGCCGUAAACGAUGAGUGCUAGGUGUUGGGGGGACCACCCUCAGUGCCGCAGGUAACCCAAUAAGCACUCCGCCUGGGGAGUACGGUCGCAAGACUGAAACUCAAAGGAAUUGACGGGGGCCCGCACAAGCGGUGGAGCAUGUGGUUUAAUUCGAAGCAACGCGAAGAACCUUACCAGGGCUUGACAUCCCGCUGACCGGUGUAGAGAUAUGCCUUUCCCCUUCGGGGGACAGCGGUGACAGGUGGUGCAUGGUUGUCGUCAGCUCGUGUCGUGAGAUGUUGGGUUCAGUCCCGCAACGAGCGCAACCCCUAUUUCUAGUUGCCAGCAUUUCGGAUGGGCACUCUAGAGAGACAGCCGGUGAAAGCCGGA